This 96-nucleotide Y RNA is filed under the name Aotus nancymaae (Ma's night monkey). RNAcentral describes it as "Y RNA (ENSANAG00000014190.1)". It matches the Rfam family "Y RNA". From Rfam's summary of the family: Y RNAs are components of the Ro ribonucleoprotein particle (Ro RNP), in association with Ro60 and La proteins. The Y RNAs and Ro60 and La proteins are well conserved, but the function of the Ro RNP is not known. The record is from Rfam by way of RNAcentral. Lineage: Eukaryota; Metazoa; Chordata; Mammalia; Primates; Aotidae.
GGCUGGUCCGAUGGUAGUGGGUUAUCAGAACUUAUUAACAUUAGUAUUAUUAAAGUUGGUAUACAACCUCCCACUGCUAAAUUUGACUGGCUUUAA